Molecule: ribosomal RNA, 253 nt
Filed under: uncultured bacterium
Lineage: Bacteria
Description: partial 16S ribosomal RNA
Rfam family: Bacterial small subunit ribosomal RNA
Source: RNAcentral
UACGUAGGGGGCAAGCGUUGUCCGGAAUUAUUGGGCGUAAAGAGCGUGUAGGCGGUUCGAUAAGUUUGCUGUAAAAGUCGGGGGCUCAACCCCCGAAAGCCGGUGAAUACUGUCGGACUAGAGUACGGAAGAGGCGAGUGGAAUUCCUGGUGUAGCGGUGAAAUGCGCAGAUAUCAGGAGGAACACCAAUUGCGAAGGCAGCUCGCUGGGACGUAACUGACGCUGAGACGCGAGAGCGUGGGGAGCAAACAGG